CUGGGUGGCGCAGCGGUUUAGCGCCUGCCUUUGGCCCAGGGCGCGAUCCUGGAGACCCGGGAUCGAGUCCCACGUCGGGCUCCCGGUGCAUGGGGCCUGCUUCUCCCUCUGCCUGUGUCUCUGCCUCUCUCUCUCUCUGUGACUAUCAUAAAUAAAUAAAAAUUUUAAAAAAAAAUUAAACAUUCAUAAAUGUAAACAUUCAUAUUUUUAGGAAAACCAACAGCCCAAUAUAAAUAGCAUCUGAAGGAGCAAAGGUCUCUUGCAUCAUAAGUGGAAGCAACACAAGGGAGAGGAUCUGCCCAGACAUAUAACUCAAGACUUGCAGGCUUUCCAAAGAUAGUAUUCUAAAGUGAGCAAUAUAAAGGGGAAUCUCUUUAGAGAUUUAUGCUCCAACAGUGAUUCCAGACCUCCAAACUUUGAACAUGCAACAUCAACAAAGAUCUUGUUAUGGAGGACCCCACAUCCAGAUUUGCAGUCCACCACAAUCAAGGAUGGUUCUGCCAGAAGUAGACUCCACCCAUGUCAACUUCAUCUCCUAUCAGUCUUUAACCAAGAAAUGUAAGGAAAAUUACUUUGAGCCAAUUAGAAAAUCUCAAAUGGUAAGCUUUGCCUCUUGUUUACAGAUUCUUGAUAUAAUUGUAAACAUUUAUGUUUCAAAAUUUCACUGAUUUCAAUCUUCACAGGUCUUGCAUUUUACUUUUUCAUUAGACUAAAAGCCUGCGGUAGCUGAACAUCAUUGCCCAAGGAUGUUAUAUAGACUUGUCUUUAUGAGGUGUCAUCUGUACUCUAAGUGAGAUUUUAAACUACUAGAAAGCCUUUUAGCAACUAAGGAAGAAACGCUAGAUUUUCCGAAGGGUUGAUGUCUACAGCAGUGCAGUCAAUUGUUGCUGGUAGGUUUUUGUUGCUCUGCAACUGUCAACACACUUAAUUCUUCAAAUGAUAAAAGUCUUGAAGUCUGUAAUAUAAAAAUUAGAUGUCCUGGAAAUUUUUAUUUCUAUUUUAAAGGUACAACUUAUCAUCAAAAUCAUGUUCAUUGCAAAUGUUUUCUUGGCAAUUUACUUGUCAUAAAUGUCUAUUGUACUGACAUACUCAGCAGGGAAUAGUGUAUGUUUAUUCUCAUGUACUUAUGAAUUUGUAAA
RNAcentral lists this long non-coding RNA (1139 nucleotides) under Vulpes vulpes (red fox). Its description in RNAcentral is "lncRNA (ENSVVUG00000000420.1)". Lineage: Eukaryota; Metazoa; Chordata; Mammalia; Carnivora; Canidae. The record is from RNAcentral.